AGGAUGAACGCUAGCUACAGGCUUAACACAUGCAAGUCGAGGGGCAGCAUUCUUCUAGCAAUAGAAGAGAUGGCGACCGGCGCACGGGUGAGUAACACGUAUCCAACCUACCGAUAACUCCGGAAUAGCCUUUCGAAAGAAAGAUUAAUACCGGAUAGUAUACGAAUAUCGCAUGAUAUUUUUAUUAAAGAAUUUCGGUUAUCGAUGGGGAUGCGUUCCAUUAGUUUGUUGGCGGGGUAACGGCCCACCAAGACUACGAUGGAUAGGGGUUCUGAGAGGAAGGUCCCCCACAUUGGAACUGAGACACGGUCCAAACUCCUACGGGAGGCAGCAGUGAGGAAUAUUGGUCAAUGGGCGCAGGCCUGAACCAGCCAAGUAGCGUGAAGGAUGAAGGCUCUAUGGGUCGUAAACUUCUUUUAUAUGGGAAUAAAGUUUUCCACGUGUGGAAUUUUGUAUGUACCAUAUGAAUAAAGAUCGGCUAACUCCGUGCCAGCAGCCGCGGUAAUACGGAGGAUCCGAGCGUUAUCCG
RNAcentral lists this ribosomal RNA (529 nucleotides) under Bacteroides ovatus ATCC 8483. RNAcentral's name for it is "SSU rRNA". It matches the Rfam family "Bacterial small subunit ribosomal RNA", at positions 26 to 547 of the family's 1533-position model. Lineage: Bacteria; Pseudomonadati; Bacteroidota; Bacteroidia; Bacteroidales; Bacteroidaceae. The record is from RNAcentral.